Long non-coding RNA from Dalotia coriaria, 936 nucleotides. RefSeq lists it as uncharacterized. Lineage: Eukaryota; Metazoa; Arthropoda; Insecta; Coleoptera; Staphylinidae. The record is from RefSeq and is a predicted model, not a curated record. The transcript has 4 exons.
CUGACCACAUUGUUGGAAACUGGAACAAAGCCCAGAUAAAUUCAUCCAUUAUAAGGAUAGUUGUGCAUUCAUUUUCACAUUUCAUGUAAAAAUUACCUGAAUACAACUUGCAAUAUGGCGUUCGGAAAAAUUCUAUUGCUUUGCGCAGUGUUAGUGCUUGCAAGCGCUGCGGAAAACAAAAAUCAACCCAGAGGAUCUGAUGAGAACAACUGCAAUCUACCCUUGGAAUUUACCCACGAAUCAUUUUUUGAUCCUACGUUCGUAAAUGAGCCAAAAAAUGAUGAUGCUUUCGAUGAGGUUUUCUACACAUUUAAACUUCCUUCAAAUAUAACAAACUACAAUCUGGAUGUGUAUCAUGGUGUUAACUAUAUCAGUGCUGAAGUAAUUGAUAAAGAAGUUAUUUUCAAACCUACGGAAAACUUCAGAAAUUUCGAGUACAAGGAAAUCCAUGAUGAACCCGCUCGUAUAGAGUUUCUUUUGCCUUUUGAGUGCUAUGUAGAUGAAAAUGAUUACGAAAACAAAACUCAGUUCUAUUUCGUGCAACCCAUAACGGAUGUUAACAAUCAUGAGCCGAUGUUUAACCGGAAAGAGUAUCAAUAUCACUUUGGAAUGCCUAUCAAAGCAGGAGCCCUGCUUACCAACAUUUUGAAAUUUAUGCAGUGGAUGUUGACUAUACCAACACCAAAGUAGAAUUUUCUAUUGAUGUCAACGAUUAUAUUGAGAUUAGCUAUAAAGGAACAGAAUACCUAAACCGGAAAAUUCACUAUGCCACUUUAACCACCAAGAAAGACAUUCCAGCAAAGCAAAAUAUGGUAUUGACUAUUAAAGUCACCGAUAUGGGUACACCUAAGCUUGAAAGCACAGCUCUGGUCAAGAUUGUUAUUGAUUAAAUACACAAAUGUUUAACAAGUGGCAUAAUAAAAUGACUUAACUGCA